Molecule: ribosomal RNA, 551 nt
Filed under: uncultured Rhodoferax sp.
Lineage: Bacteria; Pseudomonadati; Pseudomonadota; Betaproteobacteria; Burkholderiales; Comamonadaceae
Description: bacterial SSU rRNA
Rfam family: Bacterial small subunit ribosomal RNA
Source: RNAcentral
AGCACGGGAGCAAUCCUGGUGGCGAGUGGCGAACGGGUGAGUAAUAUAUCGGAACGUGCCCAGUCGUGGGGGAUAACGCAGCGAAAGCUGUGCUAAUACCGCAUACGAUCUCUGGAUGAAAGCGGGGGACUCGCAAGAGCCUCGCGCGAUUGGAGCGGCCGAUAUCAGAUUAGCUAGUUGGCGGGGUAAAGGCCCACCAAGGCGACGAUCUGUAGCUGGUCUGAGAGGACGACCAGCCACACUGGAACUGAGACACGGUCCAGACUCCUACGGGAGGCAGCAGUGGGGAAUUUUGGACAAUGGGCGCAAGCCUGAUCCAGCAAUGCCGCGUGCAGGAUGAAGGCCUUCGGGUUGUAAACUGCUUUUGUACGGAACGAAACGGAGAGCUCUAAUAAAGCUUGCUAAUGACGGUACCGUAAGAAUAAGCACCGGCUAACUACGUGCCAGCAGCCGCGGUAAUACGUAGGGUGCGAGCGUUAAUCGGAAUUACUGGGCGUAAAGCGUGCGCAGGCGGUUAUAUAAGACAGAUGUGAAAUCCCCGGGCUCAACCU